GACGAACGCUGGCGGCGUGCUUAACACAUGCAAGUCGAACGGAAAGGCCCUGCUUGCAGGGUCCUCGAGUGGCGAACGGGUGAGUAACACGUGGGUGCUCUGCCCUGCACUUCGGGAUAAGCCUGGGCAACUGGGUCUAAUACCGGAUAGGAGCCAUUUUUAGUGGGAUGGUUGGAAAGUUUUUUCGGUGUAGGAUGAGCUCGCGGCCUAUCAGCUUGUUGGUGGGGUAAUGGCCUACCAAGGCGGCGACGGGUAGCCGGCCUGAGAGGGUGGACGGCCACAUUGGGACUGAGAUACGGCCCAGACUCCGACAGGAGGCAGAAGUGGGGAAGAUUGCACAAGGGGCGCAAGCCGGAUGCAGCGACGCCGCGUGGGGGAUGACGGCCUUCGGGUUGUAAACUCCGUUCGCUAGGGACGAAGCUUUUUGUGACGGUACCUAGAUAAGAAGCACCGGCUAACUACGUG
RNAcentral lists this ribosomal RNA (465 nucleotides) under uncultured bacterium. RNAcentral's name for it is "partial 16S ribosomal RNA". It matches the Rfam family "Bacterial small subunit ribosomal RNA", at positions 28 to 507 of the family's 1533-position model. The record is from RNAcentral.